RNAcentral lists this ribosomal RNA (504 nucleotides) under uncultured bacterium. RNAcentral describes it as "bacterial SSU rRNA". It matches the Rfam family "Bacterial small subunit ribosomal RNA", at positions 17 to 518 of the family's 1533-position model. The record is from RNAcentral.
UUCUGGCUCAGGAUGAACGCUAGCUACAGGCUUAACACAUGCAAGUCGAGGGGUAGCAGGGUAGCAAUACCGCUGACGACCGGCGCACGGGUGAGUAACACGUAUCCAACCUUCCCAUAACUCAGGGAUAGCCUUUCGAAAGAAAGAUUAAUACCUGAUAGUACUUUUUCAAGGCAUCUUGAGAAAGUUAAAGAUUUAUUGGUUAUGGAUGGGGAUGCGUUCCAUUAGAUAGUUGGUGAGGUAACGGCUCACCAAGUCUUCGAUGGAUAGGGGUUCUGAGAGGGAGGUCCCCCACAUUGGUACUGAGACACGGACCAAACUCCUACGGGAGGCAGCAGUGAGGAAUAUUGGUCAAUGGGCGAGAGCCUGAACCAGCCAAGUAGCGUGAAGGAUGAAGGUCCUAUGGAUUGUAAACUUCUUUUAUAGUAGAAUAAAGUGAUCCACGUGUGGAUUUUUGUAUGUAUACUAUGAAUAAGGAUCGGCUAACUCCGUGCCAGCCGCAGC